Molecule: ribosomal RNA, 1931 nt
Filed under: human gut metagenome
Description: bacterial LSU rRNA
Rfam family: Bacterial large subunit ribosomal RNA
Source: RNAcentral
UUUUUUAAUGAUACGGCGACCACCGAGAUCUACACUCUUUCCCUACACGACGCUCUUCCGAUCUGAUCCAUGCAUAUCCGAAUGGGGCAACCCACCAUCAGUCAUGUGAUGGUACGAAAGAGGCAGACCUGGGGAACUGAAACAUCUAAGUACCCAGAGGAAAAGUAAUCAAUUGAGAUUCCCUAAGUAGCGGCGAGCGAAAGGGGAAGAGCCCAAACCAUGAAACUUCGGUUUUGUGGGGUUGAGGACCGGCAAAAAGAGGAAACUUCUUAGUCGAAUGGUUUGGAAAGGCCAUGCACAGAAGGUAAAACACCUGUAGGCGAAAAGAAGUCAAUCGGGCUGGUAUCCAGAGUACUGCGAGACACGUGAAACCUUGCAGGAAGCAGGGGGGACCACCCUCCAAGGCAAAAUACUACUUGGCGACCGAUAGCGCAUAGUACCGUGAGGGAAAGGUGAAAAGAACCCCGGGAGGGGAGUGAAAUAGAACCUGAAACCGUAUGUCUACAAGCAGUCGAAGCACCUUAAGAGUGCGACGGCGUGCCUAUUGAAGAAUGAACCGGCGAGUUACAUUAUGUUGCGAGGUUAAGUGGGAGACACGGAGCCGAAGCGAAAGCGAGUCUUAAUAGGGCGACUAGUAACAUGGUGUAGACCCGAAACCGCAGUGAUCUAUCCAUGGUCAGGUUGAAGCGCAGGUAAAAAUGCGUGGAGGACCGAACCCGUGAGUGUUGAAAAACUUUGGGAUGAACCGUGGAUAGGGGUGAAAUGCCAAUCGAACGCGGAGAUAGCUGGUACUCCCCGAAAUAGCUUUAGGGCUAGCCUCAGGGAAGAUUAUAGACGGUAGAGCACUGAUCUGGCAAGGGGGCGUAAAGCCUACCGACCCUAGUCAAACUUCGAAUGGCUAUAAUUAAGACCCUGGGAGUCAGACUGCGAGUGAUAAGACCCGUAGUCAAGAGGGAAACAGCCCAGACCGCCGACUAAGGUCCCCAAUGCUGUACUAAGUGGAAAAGGAUGUAAGACUUCAUAAACAACCAGGAUGUUGGCUUAGAAGCAGCCACCAUUAAAAGAGUGCGUAAUAGCUCACUGGUCGAGAGGCCUUGCGCCGAAGAUGUCCGGGGCUCAAGUACAGAACCGAAGUCGCGGCAGGAUUAUAUAAUUCUGGGUAGGGGAGCGUUGUAUAUCCGACUGAAGGUGUACCGGAAGGAGCGCUGGAGGAUAUACAAGAGAGAAUGCCGGUAUGAGUAGCGAAAAGAACAGUGAGAAUCUGUUCCACCGAAAGCCUAAGGUUUCCUGAGCAACGCUCGUCGACUCAGGGUAAGUCGGGACCUAAGCCGAGGCAAAAAGCAUAGGCGAUGGACAACAGGUUAAUAUUCCUGUACCGCUUCAAAUCGUUUGAGCAAUGGAGUGACACAGAAGGUAGCUUGAGCACGCGAAUGGAUGUGCGUGUCGAAGGUGGUAGGUUGCAGUAUAGGUAAAUCCGUACUGUAUAAGACCGAGAACUGAUAGAUAGACGAUACUUCGGUAAAGUCAAAUUCAAGUGAGCCAUGCUGUCGAGAAAAGCUUCUAGUGAGAGAUGAGGCGCCCGUACCGAAACCGACACAGGUAGGCGGGGAGAGAAUCCUAAGGUGCGCGGGACAACCCUCGUUAAGGAACUCGGCAAAUUGUAUCCGUAACUUAGGGAUAAGGAUAGCCGGAGGAUGUGAAGGGAUUUACUUCUGGAGCGUCAGCCGGUGGCACAAGAGAGGCCCAAGCGACUGUUUAGCACAAACACAGGUGCCUGCAAAAGAGAAAUCUGACGUAUAGGUGCUGACACCUGCCCGGUGCUGGAAGGUUAAGAGGAGGGCUUAGAGGAAACUCGAAGGCUUGAAUUGAAGCCCCAGUAAACGGCGGCCGUAACUAUAACGGUCCUAAGGUAGCGAAAUUCCUUGUCGGGU